Melanotaenia boesemani (Boeseman's rainbowfish) is the source of this 764-nucleotide long non-coding RNA. RefSeq lists it as uncharacterized. Lineage: Eukaryota; Metazoa; Chordata; Actinopteri; Atheriniformes; Melanotaeniidae. The record is from RefSeq and is a predicted model, not a curated record. The transcript is spliced from 2 exons.
AAUGGAAGAGUAUCCAGGGAAUUAAAACGGAAAUAAGCCAGGGCCCAUUCUAACGCCCUGUCUCGGAGUAGACCGAUUAUGUAGGAGAUCCUCGAGGCGUCCGAGGAGAAGGAGCGCGGAGAACGAGAAAUGGCCAAGUUGCAUUGAAGCAGAAAACCACCACACUUCACGGGAUCACCUGAAAAAUGAUCUGGAGUGGGGAAUGAGGCGUCCCGAAACACUGGCUCACUAGUGACAGGAUGAGGAACUGGAGGAUCAGCCGGAGGAGAUGUUUCCUGAGGUGGAGCAGAGAGUCGCUUGUGGAUAUCCUCCAAUAAUCCAAAAACCUGACCCAAGCGGAGAUUUGUGGUGGCCUGUUGCUCGUCCAGGGAACGUAAAGCCUUCUCGUGCUCACCAAGCAUUUGUCCCUGUUUGGACAAAGCCGAUUUCCAGGCGUCUGCUGAGUCCAUCUUGUUGGCCAGAUUAUACUGUCACGGCUGGAUUCAGCCGUCGGAAGGAGGGAAGCAGGACCCAAAUAGCAGACGAGAUAAUCGUAAAUGGCAGAACAGGUUUAUUUCACACAAGGGAUCUGGAUGGUCCGAGCUGGAGAGUGUCCGGGGUUCAGGUUCUCUGGGAGGAGAGGAAAAUGGAGGAGGUAGGCUGUCACGGCUGGAUCCUGAGCUGAAGGGUGGAAGGGCGAGCAGGCAGGUGGCAAGGUUUACAGCUGACGAUCGGAGGAGGAGGACUGGAGGUCAGAUGACUGGAAUGCUGGAGUGUAUCAAGGC